RNAcentral lists this ribosomal RNA (496 nucleotides) under uncultured bacterium. RNAcentral's name for it is "partial 16S ribosomal RNA". It matches the Rfam family "Bacterial small subunit ribosomal RNA", at positions 899 to 1397 of the family's 1533-position model. The record is from RNAcentral.
ACUCAAAUGAAUUGACGGGGGCCCGCACAAGCGGCGGAGCAUGCGGAUUAAUUCGAUGCAACGCGAAGAACCUUACCUGGGUUCAACUACUACCGGAAAGCGCUAGAGAUAGUGCCCCUUUUUGUCGGUAGAUAGGUGGUGCAUGGCUGUCGUCAGCUCGUGUCGUGAGAUGUUGGGUUAAGUCCCGCAACGAGCGCAACCCUCGUUCUAUGUUGCCAGCACGUUAUGGUGGGGACUCAUAGGAGACUGCCGGGGUCAACUCGGAGGAAGGUGGGGAUGACGUCAAGUCAUCAUGCCCCUUAUGUCCAGGGCUUCACGCAUGCUACAAUGGCCGGUACAAAGGGCUGCGAUCCCGUGAGGGGGAGCGAAUCCCAAAAAGCCGGUCUCAGUUCGGAUUGGGGUCUGCAACUCGACCCCAUGAAGUCGGAGUCGCUAGUAAUCGCAGAUCAGCAACGCUGCGGUGAAUACGUUCCCGGGCCUUGCACACACCGCCCGU